CCUACGGGAGGCAGCAGUAGGGAAUCUUCCGCAAUGGACGCAAGUCUGACGGAGCAACGCCGCGUGUGUGAAGAAGGUUUUCGGAUCGUAAAGCUCUGUUGUUAAGGAAGAAUGUUCGGGGUAGUAACUGGCCAUGAAGUGACGGUACUUAACCAGAAAGCCACGGCUAACUACGUGCCAGCAGCCGCGGUAAUA
Molecule: ribosomal RNA, 195 nt
Filed under: uncultured Arthrobacter sp.
Lineage: Bacteria; Bacillati; Actinomycetota; Actinomycetes; Micrococcales; Micrococcaceae
Description: partial 16S ribosomal RNA
Rfam family: Bacterial small subunit ribosomal RNA
Source: RNAcentral